This 1000-nucleotide long non-coding RNA is filed under the name Gossypium raimondii (Peruvian cotton). RNAcentral describes it as "long non-coding RNA (GRAI_LNC003367)". The record is from RNAcentral. Lineage: Eukaryota; Viridiplantae; Streptophyta; Magnoliopsida; Malvales; Malvaceae.
UCUGUAUUGACUUCAUCAUGGCAUAUUAGGCAAUCCAAAACCCUAAAAUCUUCUAUGUGAUGGAAAUAUGUGUGAAUAAGGGGAUGGUCAUGCCACUUACUUUUGAUAAUGCGAGGCAAUGAAAUGCAAUUUUUAUGGAUUAUAAUGUUGCAUGUACCACAUGUAUAGGAAACAUGAUUUCCUUCAGUGCCACACGCAUCACAAGUGAAUGGAACUUGUCUCAAAAACAAGGUGAAUGGAUGUUCAUGAUUUGUAUUCUUAAUAACUUGUAAUGACGAUUGUGAUGCACAUUCAAUGUGAACAACAAACUUACAAGGAGAACAACCAUAAACAAAUCCUCUUCGCCUUGGUACUUGGCAUAUCUUGCAAGAGAGCCGUUUGCUAUUAAAUUGUAGAACAAGAGGAUGCUUGCGAUGGUACACAUGAUUGAGUUUGAAAGGAAGCUCAGCGCAUUUCUCAUGUAAAUUAAAUCCACAAUCAGGAGAAAAGUGUGUAUACAUUGCUAAUGGUUCCCAACAUCCAAAGCACUUACUAACAUCUUUGAGUUUUUUAUCACCAUUUUCAGUGGAAAUCAAUGGAUCAUGAAGGGCAACAUGCUCAAGCUCUUUCAAAUUAUUCUCAGCAAUAUUAAGUGUAAACAAAGCACAUUUAAUAUGAAAGUCCAAUUCACAACUAGAGCAGUGAUAAACAGACUUGUCACCAAAUUCAUGGCAGAAUGUGCAAAAGUACGCUCCAGAUAAAUGAGGUGACUUUUGCAUAAGAAGAAGAGGAUGGUUGAGAUGAAAAGGGUGAUUAAGCGCCAAAGGUGCCUCGGCACAUACCUUGUGAAGAUAAAACCCACAGUGCUCCGCACAGUAAAAACAUGGAGCAGACACCUUCUCCCCACACCUGGAGCAAUCAGUUACACCGCCUUGAUUGUCGAUCAGCUGCUCUUGAUUCAACAUAAGAAGCAGGGGAUGUUGGUGCCCAUUAAACAAGGUGAAUGGAUGUUCAUGAUUUG